This 3692-nucleotide long non-coding RNA is filed under the name Podarcis lilfordi (Lilford's wall lizard). The record is from RNAcentral. Lineage: Eukaryota; Metazoa; Chordata; Lepidosauria; Squamata; Lacertidae.
UGCUCUUAUCAUACGCAGUAGAAGUAUUUGCUGUGGUUCCUUGGUCAAAUAAAGCCAUCAAAAGAAAGUAAGAUACAUGCUAUGGGAAAAUUGAAGGCAGGGCAUAAGGAACACCUACUUUCUUCCACAGUGUUUAAUAAAAGACUGCAGUUGUUGCUUCUGAAGCAUUUAUAGAAGUUGGUUGGUUUGUAAUACACUCCGGUAAUUACACAACCAAAGUGUUUGUACUUACUUCAUUGUGCAUUUUCACUUUUGCUCCUAAACUCGUCACAUCUUGCUAUUCUUUUCCUUUGGCUUGGAGUUGUUUCACAUUACAGAAUUAGAGGCUAGAUUGUGUUUGCCUCAAAGACGUGAGGUGAGUAAACAACAUGCCAUAAAUUGUUAUGUACACUGGCCAGAAUCCAAAUAACCAUGAAACUAGUUCCAUAAGCCCUUGUGCACUUUAGACUUACUGUUCUUGAACAGAAGAUACCAGGGCCAUAUAGGAAGUGCUCUUGAAAUGGACAAGCAUAAAGAAAGGAUUUGUGAUAAUAGUAUCAUAGAAUUGUUAAGGUGGAAGGGACCACGAGGGUCAUGUAGUAGUCCAACCCCUGCAGCGCAGGAAACUUUUGCCCAACAUGAGGCUCAAAACCACAGCCCUGAAAUUAGGUGUCUCAUGCUCAAGACAGGCAUACAAAUAAGUAAGUACCCAUUUUAGAAGCUGAGGAUACUGUGAAGCUGUAGGGACAUAAGAAGAGCCCAGCUGAAUCAGGCCAAAGGCCUGUCAAGUCCCGCAUUCAUUUCUCCCAGUGGCUGAUCAGAUGCCUGUGGGAAUUCAAGAAGUGGAACCUGAAUACAAAUGCCCUUCUCCCACUUGUGAUUCCCUGCAACUGGUAUUCAGAGGCAUAUUGCCUCUUAUGGUGGGUGUAGAACAUAGCCAUCAUGGCAAGUAGCUAUUAGUCUCAGUCUCCAGGUAAUAAUGGAUGAAAUGAUUUGUAAAAAUUCAUAUAUUUCUGAUAAGUGUGUAUCAAGAGUUUAUGACUUCAAAUGAAGUGGAGAAAGGAGAAAUAUAAUUUGAUAUAGAUCAUUUGCUGUCAGUUGAGAAACCAGUUCUUAAUAACAUUAGAGAGGAACAUCUCUCCCCACCUUGACCCUCAGGAGCACUUACACUAAUGCAGUUUAUGGAAAACAUCCAAUAGGUUUCCUUUGUUGGAUUAUUUUGAAACAUUUACAGGACAGGGUGGGGCGAGAGAGAAUGAUUGCAUUUUAUGAAGAGUCAUGCAAAUGUAGGAAGCGAUUUUAACAUGUCCUUGCUGUCAGUUUUAUAGGAAAGUUUAUCUAAAAAAUGAAAUUACAAAAUAUCCACUGAUGUGGAUUCUAUAUUUUACUAAAUUUCAUUUGCUCUGUCUGAAGGGAAAACAAGUGUUUUAUCAUUACAUUGUGCAAUGAUAUUUUUCAUUAAAAUAAAUAAUUUUAUAAUAAGGUGGUCUGGUGGGAAUAAAAUUAUAUAUUGAACUAUUAAAAGAUGGGUUUUUAAAACAAAAACCUAGACACUGUGAAGCUGUGCAUACAUUCAUAUGUGCAAAUAAUUUUGAGAGCCUACCUUACUAUCAGACAUCUCCUGGUGGCUAUCUUCAUCACCAUUUGUAGAGUAUAGCAAUUUUUCUGCAGCAGGACAUGCAAACAAUUUUCUCAGUGCCAUCUUGGUUCACAUAUGUUUGCUAUUCAAGAACAGCAGAAUAAUGAAAGCAUACUUGCAAAGAAAGCGAAGAAUGGCGGGGCAGUAAGCAAGGAUCCUCAAAGGGAGAUGCAGAAAGAGCCACAUAGUUGGCGUGAGAUACAUUUGGCCGAGCAGCAAUAGAUGUCUGAUGACUGGACACAAAGUUCAUGGCAAUCUUGUAGGUCAGAUACCGGUGAUAAGUUGGGAAUGGCUAGGAGUGUGAAACAGGAUUAUUUGAAAUUAAAAAAGUAAUGAAAUAAUGUCAUUCUUCAGAGUUGGUCUUUCCCCCAAAAUCCCAAGAUAUUUUGACAAGCCCAGCUGUUUCAGUGUUAUGUACUGAAGUUCUCACCCUGGGCCAGCAGGGGGAUACUGUAGAUAGCUUUCACUCAGGUCCACAUAUGCAAAUAAGGGAUUGAAAGUGAUGUUCAGUGAUUGGAUAGUUACAGAAAGUGGUUACUGUUGCGUUCUAGCAGAGCUCUAUAUAAGCAGGCUGGCUGAACCCUUCAGUUCAGUUCUGUUCUGGCCUGUGAAUAAACAAGAGCUGUUUGAAGAAUCGCUGUGUCGUCUGAUAUGUUCACCCACAACUUAACAUUCAGGUUCUAGGGUAAAAAAGCACAAUCCUAUCCUUGAGUUACAUGUGCUAGGUUGGAAAGGGUCAGUCCAAAAACUCUUCCGCCAGCAUAGCAGGACCAUAAGACGUUGGAUGGUUAAAUGGGGGUGGAAAUUACAUUUCAUCUUUGGGCCUUUUCAUACCUUCAUAUGGAAGCAAUCAAAACUGUAGUAUAAUUUUAAUUCCAUUUUCUGUACCUUUUGAGAGAUUUAGAAAAGUAUACAACAGAGAACUACAUUAAUUGAAGCAUCUCUCACAGCUUUUUAAGACCAAACGUUAUCCCAUAAAACAACCUUUCCCAUAAUAGUCUCCUGGAAAAGGAAAGUUUUCCAAAACAUUUGAAAUAUUUGCAUGAAGUCAGGCAGCUUUCAUGUGGUUGGGUUGGGAAACAGGACUAUGAAAGUCCUGCCUGUACUCUUACAGGGUAGAUGAAAACCAGAGUAAGGCCUCAUAUGUCUGAAACAGCAUCUCAUUUUGGGCAAACUUUGGGCAAAGUAAAAAAAGCUGAACAACUUUUGUGUCCAGAUUUUCAUUUUUUGAAAUAUGGCAACCCUACUUUGCACACCUGGAUACCCAUUUUUAGUUUGAUGUAAACCCUAGGUAUAGCUUCCUUUCUAAACAAGUACCGGUAUUCUUAUAGGGUUCCAGUCUUAUGGAACUGACUGGUAAUAAUACACAUAUAGUUGUUAGACAACAGAUUAUCAAACAAUAGCCACAGUGGAGCUGUCUAUUUUCAGUCAUGGAAGUCUCCUCAAAUAAAGGGCACUUCUUCAAUGUACAACUCCUGAAAACAUGCAUAUACAAGCUAAAUUUAUAAAUAUACAGAAGCCACUGGGGGAAGUUAUCCAGAGGUUUGGAUAAAGGAAUUACAUCAACACUCAAUGACACAUUUCUCUUCUUGUUUCCAUCUUUUAUUUUGGAAUCUGGUUCUGCUUGCACACUUUCCAUAGGCAUCUAGUUGGCCACUGUGAGAACAAGAUGCUAGAUGGGCCUUUGUUCUGAUCCAGCAGCUCUCUUCUUACAUAUCUUAUUAUGUAUGAGUCCUAGAGAGCAUGUCUGGGCAAUUUUAGGGUGGAUGGGAGCAAACAAACAGAGAUUUAAUCCAUGUAAGAGAUGGCAGCACUGUGGGUGGGAAAAUCUGAACAGCCAGGCGGUAUGUACUCGAGGCGGUUAUACUUCCCCUGAAAUAUCAAGUCAGUAGCUUGGGAGUCCUGCAUUCAGUGCUGCUGAUGGAGGUGCAGGUGGCACUGGAUAUGAGUAGCGGUUUUAUCAGAUUUGGCUGAUUCACCAGCUAUGACGCUAUCUAGCCAAAGAGGACUUUGCCUCAGUAAUUCAUGUCCUGGUUACAUCUAGAUUAGUCUACUUGCAAUCACUAGAGUGGGA